UUUUCUUUCUAUAAAUAACAAGAACAUACUUCUGUUUGUUUUCUUUCUUUUUCAUUCUUUUUUUUGGUGUGUAUGUGUACUGUGUGGACUCGUCAAUGUUUUUGCAUUGAAAAGUAAACAUGCGCCACGUCUUUUUCCAUUGGUGGUGAUAGAUAUUGUUUUAUUUAUAAAUUGAAAUUUUAAUUAUAAUUGGACAACACUAAGAUACAUGUUAACAAACCAAUUAAAAAAAAAAAACUGAAUCUUGCUGAAAUAAUAGCCCAAUAAUAGAUAGAUUUUAUUAUAUAUUUUAUGUCUUGAAUCAUAGUAAAUCAGGUUUAGAUAAACAAAAUCCUAUCAUUUAAACACUACAUAUGGCAUUUUCUCAAUUAUUGCAAGUUCCCUUAUCCUUUUUUCAAUCUAUAAAGUACGUAGAUUCAAAAUUCUUAAUUUGUUUUUCCUUGAUUCAAGAGAAAGAAAAAAGGAAAUAAGGGUUGUCAGAUUUUGAAUUUUGACCGCAUUAUGACACAGGUAUGCGCUAGAUUAUUGUACUAUUCACCUAAAUAGUGAAAGAGAGUGAGUUUAGUUGAGAGGAAAAAAAUAAAUAAGUUUGUCAUUUUCACAAUGAAAUUUUAAGAAUGUCUAGGGUAAGAUAUAACACUCAAACCAGGCAAUUCCAAUGUCAUUUAACUUCAACCGUUCAUCAUCUAGCAUAGACAUUUGUAAUAAUAUUCUUCAGAAUUAAGCAUGAUAUUGCAGAUUGAAAAGGGGAAAAUUUGAACAUAAAAUACUUUUCAAAAGGUUAGUAUGACUACUAAUUAGAUCUUAUCUCUGCCAUAUGUAUCUUCUAUACAUUCUUUGAGGUUCUUUUCAAUUAGUUUUCUGCUAGGUUAGUACCAUUCAAUUAUACAAACUCUUUUCAGAAACAAUCCUUCCAAUGGGGAUCAUUUUAUAUAUUACCAUUUAUAUUUUAAAGAACAAUGUGGUUCAAACUUUCAAGUGCCUGAACAGUACUUUCUCAAUUCAUAUUAUGAUGCUUGGGACUAACAAUCACAGAGUUCCUCAAGAUUUCCAAUAUCAUGCAACAGUGGUGUCACAAUUUUCUCAAUAGAAGUUACAAAAAUGUGCCCUCCCCUGUUAAUGGUACCCCAAGUGCAAUGAUACCAUUAUUUUGUAACCAUCCCUAAAACACAUGGCUAUUUUAUCCAAAAAGAAGAAAGAAACUGAAACCAGGCAGUGACUUUAAGCUUUCGUUGAGAACCCCAAAGAAAUGAAAGGAGAAAAGAAAGUUAAAGCAACAAUAAAGAGAGAGGAGAGGAAUUGACCCAUCUUCAGUGUGGCACCAAAUAAAACAAAGAGGAGAGAAACAAAAAAUAAAGGAGUAAUUCCAUAAAUGAAUCAAGAAAAAGAAUUAUUGGAAGGGUAAAAAAGAUGGAUAGUGUUGAAAAAUGCUAUGCGGCCAGUUGAUUUGAACUCCCAAAAUGGGUUAUAACUUUAUGUGUUUUUAGGUUUUUACUUCAGCUUCUGAAAAAGAAAGAGAAGAAAGAAAGAAGAAAGAGAUCUUUUGUUGUCAGAAAAUUAUUUCUGAGAAACAUAGAUGAACACAAAUGAACGUUUGUACUCGAAGAGCAGGAUACUUAGAGGGGGAUGACAUGCAUGGAAUCCUUGGAUGUACAGUUGGGGGCAAAAGUAUCCAUCAUUUUGUUCGAGGGACCUGACCAAUUAUCAUCUAUUAGUCCCCCAUGUUGAUAGGGCACAGAUAAAUUAUAUGUAUGGACAAGUUGUGCCAAAACAUCUUGUUCUUAAUUUGGAACAUACAUGCUUAUAUAGCACAAGGGGCCAAUCUACUAUAGUCCCCACCUUGGAAGGGUACUUUGUAAUUAUUCAACAUCAAUCAGGCAAUCUUAUAUCAUUUAUCUCAUCUAGAGAAACCAGCCAAUCAGCAAG
RNAcentral lists this unclassified non-coding RNA (1926 nucleotides) under Hevea brasiliensis (rubber tree). The record is from RNAcentral. Lineage: Eukaryota; Viridiplantae; Streptophyta; Magnoliopsida; Malpighiales; Euphorbiaceae.